GAUGAACGCUGGCGGCGUGCUUAACACAUGCAAGUCGAACGAAGCACUUUAUUUGAUUUCCUUCGGGACUGAUUAUUUUGUGACUGAGUGGCGGACGGGUGAGUAACGCGUGGGUAACCUGCCUUGUACAGGGGGAUAACAGUUGGAAACGGCUGCUAAUACCGCAUAAGCGCACAGCAUCGCAUGAUGCAGUGUGAAAAACUCCGGUGGUAUAAGAUGGACCCGCGUUGGAUUAGCUAGUUGGUGAGGUAACGGCCCACCAAGGCGACGAUCCAUAGCCGACCUGAGAGGGUGGCCGGCCACAUUGGUACUGAGACACGGCCCAAACUCCUACGGGAGGCAGCAGUGGGGAAUAUUGCACAAUGGGCGAAAGCCUGAUGCAGCGACGCCGCGUGAGCGAAGAAGUAUUUCGGUAUGUAAAGCUCUAUCAGCAGGGAAGAUAAUGACGGUACCUGACUAAGAAGCACCGGCUAAAUACGUG
RNAcentral lists this ribosomal RNA (481 nucleotides) under uncultured bacterium. RNAcentral describes it as "partial 16S ribosomal RNA". It matches the Rfam family "Bacterial small subunit ribosomal RNA", at positions 28 to 507 of the family's 1533-position model. The record is from RNAcentral.